Molecule: ribosomal RNA, 1122 nt
Filed under: Triticum aestivum (bread wheat)
Lineage: Eukaryota; Viridiplantae; Streptophyta; Magnoliopsida; Poales; Poaceae
Description: partial small subunit ribosomal RNA
Rfam family: Small nucleolar RNA Z247 (bases 481-619)
Source: RNAcentral
AUGGCGUCCUCCAGUACCACGGCGCCGGCUCUCUACUCCAACCAAAUCUCCGAGAAGCUUACUCGUGAGAACCAUCUGCUAUGGAAGGCCCAGGUGCUUCCGCAGAUCAGGGGCGCUGGGUUGUACGUGUACCUAGAUGGAUCCGUCGCGGCACCAGAAGAGAAGAUCUCGACCACGGACAAGGAGGGCAAGGUCACCUCCGUCCCCAACCCCGACUUCAUCGCCUGGAGAGGGCAGGAUCAGCAGGUCCUGUCCUACAUCAUCAACUCGCUGUCCAAGGAGGUACUCGUUCAGGUUCUUCAUCUGGAGACCUCACACGCGGUAUGGAGUGCCCUCACCAACAUGUUUUCAUCUCACUCCCGAUCCCGCAUCAACAAUCUGUGUAUCUCCCUCGCCAAUGCUCAGAAGGGGAACCAAUCUGUCCCGGCCUACUUUGCCCGGAUGAAAGGUUUCGCCGAUGAGCUUGCUGCUGCUGGAAAACCAGUUGGCGAGGAUGAGCUCAUCUCGUUUAUCCUUGCUGGCCUCGAUAUGGACUACACCCCAUUAGUCUCUGCCCUUGAUGCGCAGACUACUCCUGUAUCUCUUGAUGCUCUCUAUGGACAGAUGGCGAAUUUCGAUCAACGGGUCGAGCUGCUGCAAGGGACCAACUCCGGCUUCAAGUCCUCGGCUAACAUGGCUGCACGAGGGCGCGGGCGUGGCCGUGGCGCUCCUCGUGGUCGCGGCGGAGGCCGUGGCAGUAGCCACACGAGGGGUGGCAGCAGCACCAACGGCAACAACAACGCCCAUCCCUUCAACAACAACAACAGGGGUGGACGUACAGGCAACAUCAACAACAACCGUCCGACUUGCCAGAUCUGCGGCAAGUCAGGCCAUACGGCCAUGGACUGCUGGUACCGCUUCACCGACGAUUACCUUCCAGAAGAGAAGUCAGCGGGCGCCGCCAACCUGUCCUCCUACGGGGUGGACACCAACUGGUACGCCGACAGCGGGGCGACAAAUCACAUCACCGGAGAGCUAGAGAAGCUCACCGUCCGCGACAACUACCGCGGCACCGAUCAGAUCCACACCGCUGAUGGUUCAGGACCAAACAACGGGGAGAAUUCUCUAUCGAGGCAGAUGUAG